Molecule: unclassified non-coding RNA, 251 nt
Filed under: fungal sp.
Lineage: Eukaryota; Fungi
Description: partial internal transcribed spacer region
Rfam family: Eukaryotic small subunit ribosomal RNA (bases 1-46)
Source: RNAcentral
AAGUCGUAACAAGGUCUCCGUUGGUGAACCAGCGGAGGGAUCAUUACAGAGUUGCAAAACUCCCUACACCCACUGUUUAUCUAUCCUGAAAACGUCUGCUUCGGCGGGCGGCCCCUGGGAGGGGCCGCUGUCGCGCCUUCGGGCGCGGCGCCCGCCGGAGGAGACGACCUUUUAAACUCUUGCUGUUUCAGUACUAUUCUGAGCCUAAAGACGAAUUGUCAAAACUUUCAACAACGGAUCUCUUGGUUCUG